UGGAGUGGAGCUCAGUGGUAGAGCACUUGUCUAGCAUGUCAGAGGUCCUGGGUUCCAUCCCUAGUACGACAA
This 72-nucleotide transfer RNA is filed under the name Ictidomys tridecemlineatus (thirteen-lined ground squirrel). Its description in RNAcentral is "Spermophilus tridecemlineatus (thirteen-lined ground squirrel) tRNA". It matches the Rfam family "tRNA". From Rfam's summary of the family: Transfer RNA (tRNA) molecules are approximately 80 nucleotides in length. The record is from Rfam by way of RNAcentral. Lineage: Eukaryota; Metazoa; Chordata; Mammalia; Rodentia; Sciuridae. RNAcentral also lists the same sequence under 1 other name.